GUGACGUCUCUCUGGCUGCUGGCUGUGUGAUGCUGGCAGUGACACUGCCUGAGACUUCUGAGAAAAACACAGGUGAUGCUGGUUCCACAAUUGCUCUUGGACACUUUGGAGGAGCUGAAUGAACAUGAUUUUACAAAGUUUAAAUGGUUCCUUGCUCUGAACGUAUGGAACAACCUUAAACAAAUGGCAAAGUGCUAUCUGGAAAGCCCACACCGGCAUGAUGCUGUGAGUAGGAUGAUCGAGAGCUACGGUGAAGAAAUGGCUGUGGGCGUGACUGCUGAGAUCCUGAAGAGGAUGAAUCACAACAACACUGCAGAGAAGUUAAAGAAAGCUUACACAGAAGGAGCAGUAGUUAAGGAAAAUAUCUGUCAUCCACUUACAACCUCCUCAUCUGAUUUGGCUCUUCUAAAUCAUCCAGCUGGUUUGAAAAUCCCUGCUGGUGAUGCCAUCACUCCUAAGGCCACAACUGCCACCAGUAUAAGUGUGAUUGUCAGUGGUUCGAUUAAUGGAUCCAUUAUAACAGCCCCAAUAGUUAACCAUCAUUACCAUUUCAACCAAAACUGACUGUCUGCUGUCUGUUUUAAAAACUUUACAAAGGCAUUGUUUGAUUCACAAACUACAAAUGUGUUUAUGUUUACAGCUGAAUUAGUGUUGUUAAAGUAGAUAUAACAAAGUAUUUAAGUACACAUCUGAGGUACUUUAUUGACAUAUAGCACAACAUUUACCUUUUUCUCUACUAAUGACUUAAUGUGCUUUGUACAGAUUAAAGUAUCAGCAAUAAUAAUCAUGGGUCAUUCUUCUGCUUUGAAUGUGUUACUACAGGCAACAUUUGAAAUGUAUUAAAUCAUUCUCUUGCUGAAUCAGUAAAAACAUUUAAAUCAUAAAGCCUUUUAUUCAUGUGAGGCCAAAGUUUUAUUUUUACAGUUACAAAAUGUUUGUAUGUGUUUUGUUCUGGUUUAUUUCAUUCUGUUUAAUCUUAUUUGAUUAGUCCUGUGUUGUUUUGAUUUUGAAUUUCACGUGUACUGUGAAGUACUUUGUAACCUUU
RNA transcript from Larimichthys crocea (large yellow croaker), 1045 nucleotides. RefSeq lists it as uncharacterized. The transcript is spliced from 3 exons. NCBI's taxonomy places the organism in Eukaryota, Metazoa, Chordata, Actinopteri, Sciaenidae. The record is from RefSeq and is a predicted model, not a curated record.